Molecule: ribosomal RNA, 434 nt
Filed under: uncultured Syntrophomonas sp.
Lineage: Bacteria; Bacillati; Bacillota; Clostridia; Eubacteriales; Syntrophomonadaceae
Description: bacterial SSU rRNA
Rfam family: Bacterial small subunit ribosomal RNA
Source: RNAcentral
AAUUCGAAGCAACGCGAAGAACCUUACCAGGUCUUGACAUCCACGAAUCCUUCUGAAAGGAAGGAGUGCCUUCGGGAGCGUUGAGACAGGUGGUGCAUGGUUGUCGUCAGCUCGUGUCGUGAGAUGUUGGGUUAAGUCCCGCAACGAGCGCAACCCUUGCUAUUAGUUGCUAACAGGUUAAGCUGAGCACUCUAAUGGGACUGCCGGUGACAAGCCGGAGGAAGGUGGGGAUGACGUCAAAUCAUCAUGCCCUUUAUGACCUGGGCUACACACGUGCUACAAUGGAUGGUACAGAGAGCAGCGAGGCAGCGAUGUGGAGCGAAUCUCAAAAAGCCAUUCUCAGUUCGGAUUGGAGUCUGCAACUCGACUCCAUGAAGUCGGAAUCGCUAGUAAUCGCGAAUCAGCAUGUCGCGGUGAAUGCGUUCCCGGGCCUU